RNAcentral lists this ribosomal RNA (497 nucleotides) under uncultured bacterium. RNAcentral describes it as "partial 16S ribosomal RNA". It matches the Rfam family "Bacterial small subunit ribosomal RNA", at positions 28 to 507 of the family's 1533-position model. The record is from RNAcentral.
GAUGAACGCUGGCGGCGUGCCUAAUACAUGCAAGUCGAGCGAACAGAUGAGGAGCUUGCUCCUCUGACGUUAGCGGCGGACGGGUGAGUAACACGUGGAUAACCUACCUAUAAGACUGGGAUAACUUCGGGAAACCGGAGCUAAUACCGGAUAAUAUAUUGAACCGCAUGGUUCAAUAGUGAAAGACGGUUUUGCUGUCACUUAUAGAUGGAUCCGCGCCGCAUUAGCUAGUUGGUAAGGUAACGGCUUACCAAGGCAACGAUGCGUAGCCGACCUGAGAGGGUGAGCGGCCACACUGGAACUGAGACACGGUCCAGACUCCUAAGGGAGGCAGCAGUAGGGAAUCUUCCGCAAUGGGCGAAAGCCUGACGGAGCAACGCCGCGUGAGUGAUGAAGGUCUUCGGAUCGUAAAACUCUGUUAUUAGGGAAGAACAAAUGUGUAAGUAACUAUGCACGUCUUGACGGUACCUAAUCAGAAAGCCACGGCUAACUACGUG